RNAcentral lists this ribosomal RNA (137 nucleotides) under uncultured bacterium. RNAcentral describes it as "partial 16S ribosomal RNA". It matches the Rfam family "Bacterial small subunit ribosomal RNA", at positions 355 to 509 of the family's 1533-position model. The record is from RNAcentral.
UGGGGAAUAUUGCACAAUGGGCGAAAGCCUGAUGCAGCGACGCCGCGUGAGCGAAUAAGUAUUUCGGUAUGUAAAGCUCUAUCAGCAGGGAAGAAAAUGACGGUACCUGACUAAGAAGCUCCGGCUAAAUACGUGCC